GAUGAACGCUGGCGGCGUGCCUAAUACAUGCAAGUCGAGCGAACGGACGAGAAGCUUGCUUUUCUGAUGUUAGCGGCGGACGGGUGAGUAACACGUGGAUAACCUACCUAUAAUACUUGUAUAACUUCGGGAAACCGGAGCUAAUACCGGAUAAUAUUUUGAACCGCAUGGUUCAACAGUGAAAGACGGUCUUGCUGUCACUUAUAGAUGGAUCCGCGCUGCAUUAGCUAGUUGGUAAGGUAACGGCUUACCAAGGCAACGAUGCAUAGCCGACCUGAGAGGGUGAUCGGCCACACUGGAACUGAGACACGGUCCAGACUCCUACGGGAGGCAGCAGUAGGGAAUCUUCCGCAAUGGGCGAAAGCCUGACGGAGCAACGCCGCGUGAGUGAUGAAGGUCUUCGGAUCGUAAAACUCUGUUAUUAGGGAAGAACAUAUGUGUAAGUAACUGUGCACAUCUUGACGGUACCUAAUCAGAAAGCCACGGCUAACUACGUG
RNAcentral lists this ribosomal RNA (497 nucleotides) under uncultured bacterium. Its description in RNAcentral is "partial 16S ribosomal RNA". It matches the Rfam family "Bacterial small subunit ribosomal RNA", at positions 28 to 507 of the family's 1533-position model. The record is from RNAcentral.